GACGAACGCUGGCGGCGUGCCUAAUACAUGCAAGUAGAACGCACAGUUUAUACCGUAGCUUGCUACACCAUAGACUGUGAGUUGCGAACGGGUGAGUAACGCGUAGGUAACCUGCCUGGUAGCGGGGGAUAACUAUUGGAAACGAUAGCUAAUACCGCAUAAUAUUGAUUAUUGCAUGAUAAUUGAUUGAAAGAUGCUAUUGCAUCACUACCAGAUGGACCUGCGUUGUAUUAGCUAGUAGGUGAGGUAACGGCUCACCUAGGCGACGAUACAUAGCCGACCUGAGGGGGUGAUCGGCCACACUGGGACUGAGACACGGCCCAGACUCCUACAGGAGGCAGCAGGAGGGGAUCUUCGGCAAUGGACGAAAGUCUGACCGAGCAACGCCGCGUGAGUGAAGAAGGUUUUCGGAUCGUAAAGCUCUGUUGUAAGAGAAGAACGGGUGUGAGAGUGGAAAGUUCACACUGUGACGGUAUCUUACCAGAAAGGGACGGCUAACUACGUG
This 505-nucleotide ribosomal RNA is filed under the name uncultured bacterium. RNAcentral describes it as "partial 16S ribosomal RNA". It matches the Rfam family "Bacterial small subunit ribosomal RNA", at positions 28 to 507 of the family's 1533-position model. The record is from RNAcentral.